UCCACUUUCAUGAAAGCAGACACGCCGA
Molecule: non-coding RNA, 28 nt
Filed under: Rattus norvegicus (Norway rat)
Lineage: Eukaryota; Metazoa; Chordata; Mammalia; Rodentia; Muridae
Source: RNAcentral